Molecule: ribosomal RNA, 1031 nt
Filed under: uncultured bacterium
Lineage: Bacteria
Description: bacterial SSU rRNA
Rfam family: Bacterial small subunit ribosomal RNA
Source: RNAcentral
GUUUGCGGUGUGCUAUGCAUGCAGUCGAACGGGAUCUUUUGGAUUCGUCUGAAAGUGAGAGUGGCGAACGGGUGAGUAACACGUUGGUGACCUACCCCAAAGAGAGGGAUAACCAUUGGAAACGAUGGCUAAUACCUCGGAUGUAUUACUAUUUAGAAAGGUAAUACUAAAGCUCCGGCGCUUUGGGAGGGGCCUGCGGUCCAUCAGCUAGUUGGUAAGGUAAUGGCUUACCAAGGCAAAGACGGAUAGGGGGCGUGAGAGCGUGACCCCCCACACUGGUACUGAGACACGGACCAGAUACCUGCGGGUAGCAGCAGCAAGGAAUAUUGCGCAAUCGACGAAAGUCGGACGCAGCAACACCGCGUGAAGGAUGAAGGCCUUCGGGUCGUAAACUUCUUUUCUGGGGGAAGAGAAAGGACGGUACCCCAGGAAUAAGUCUCGGCUAACUACGUGCCAGCAGCCGCGGUAAAACGUAGGAGGCGAGCGUUAUCCGGAUUUAUUGGGCGUAAAGCGCAUGCAGGCGGUUUACAAAGUCGGACGUGAAAGCUCCUGGCUCAACUAGGAGAGGCCGUUCGAAACUAGUAGACUUGAGGAUGGUAGAGGUGAGUGGAAUUCCAGGUGUAGUGGUGAAAUGCGUAGAUAUCUGGAGGAACACCAGUGGCGAAGGCGGCUCACUGGGCCAUUCCUGACGCUCAGAUGCGAAAGCUAGGGGAGAGAACGGGAUUAGAAACCCCGGUAUUCCUAGCCGUAAACGAUGUCAACUAGGCGUAGGAGGUUAUUGACCCCUUCUGUGCUGCAGCUAACGCGUUAAGUUGACCGCCUGGGGACUACGGCCGCAAGGCUAAAACUCAAAGGAAUUGACGGGGACCCGCACAAGCAGCGGAGCGUGUGGUUUAAUUCGAGGCUACGCGAAGAACCUUACCAGGUUUGACAUAUACGUGGUAGAGAAUCGAAAGAGGAUCGACCCUUCGGGGAGCGUAUACAGGUGCUGCAUGGCUGUCGUCAGCUCGUGCCGUGAGGUGUUAGGUUAA